AACAUCGCCUCUUGACUUCCAUAAGAGGUCCAGCCUGCCCAGUGAUACUAUUAAACGGCCGCGGUACCCUGACCGUGCGAAGGUAGCAUAAUAACUUGUUCUUUAAAUGGGGACUAGCAUGAACGGCAUCACGAGGGUCUCACUGUCUCCUUUUUCUAAUCAGUGAAACUGAUCUCCCCGUGAAGAAGCGGGGAUAAAAAUAUAAGACGAGAAGACCCCAUGGAGCUUUAAACCCAAUAGACACCUCUGACUAAUCUUACCCAAAACACUUCUUAAGUUCUGUCUAUUGGUUUUAGGUUGGGGUGACCACGGAGUACAAUAAAUCCUCCAUGACGUACGGGACUUCCCUCUUAUCCUUGAACCACAUUUCUAAGAAUCAACAAAUUGACGUUUGAUGAUCCAAUAUAUUGAUCAACGGACCAAGUUACCCUGGGGAUAACAGCGCAAUCCAUUUUAAGAGCCCCUAUCGCCAAAUGGGUUUACGACCUCGAUGUUGGAUCAGGGUAUCCUAGUGGUGCAGCCGCUACUAAUGGUUUGUUUGUUCAACAAUUAAAACCCUACGUGA
This 565-nucleotide ribosomal RNA is filed under the name Fejervarya limnocharis (Boie's wart frog). RNAcentral describes it as "partial large subunit ribosomal RNA". It matches the Rfam family "Bacterial large subunit ribosomal RNA", at positions 1812 to 2603 of the family's 2925-position model. The record is from RNAcentral. Lineage: Eukaryota; Metazoa; Chordata; Amphibia; Anura; Dicroglossidae.